GCGGAAGUGGCGGAAUUGGCAGACGCACCAGACUAAGGAUCUGGCGGGUAACCCCCGUGGAGGUUCAAGUCCUCUCUUCCGCA
RNAcentral lists this transfer RNA (83 nucleotides) under Sandaracinus amylolyticus. It matches the Rfam family "tRNA". From Rfam's summary of the family: Transfer RNA (tRNA) molecules are approximately 80 nucleotides in length. The record is from Rfam by way of RNAcentral. Lineage: Bacteria; Pseudomonadati; Myxococcota; Polyangiales; Sandaracinaceae. RNAcentral also lists the same sequence under 9 other names.